GCCAGGCGUAGUGAUGCAUGCCUGUAAUCCCAGCUCUUUGGAGGCUGAGGCAGAAGAAUUGCUUGAAUUUAGGAGGUGGAGGUUGCAGUGAGCCGAGAUCAUGCCACUGCACUCCAGCCUGGGUGACAAAGCAAGACUCUGUCUCAA
Unclassified non-coding RNA from Macaca fascicularis (crab-eating macaque), 147 nucleotides. It matches the Rfam family "Metazoan signal recognition particle RNA". From Rfam's summary of the family: The signal recognition particle (SRP) is a universally conserved ribonucleoprotein. It is involved in the co-translational targeting of proteins to membranes. NCBI's taxonomy places the organism in Eukaryota, Metazoa, Chordata, Mammalia, Primates, Cercopithecidae. The record is from Ensembl.